Molecule: transfer RNA, 76 nt
Filed under: Escherichia coli
Lineage: Bacteria; Pseudomonadati; Pseudomonadota; Gammaproteobacteria; Enterobacterales; Enterobacteriaceae
Also listed under: 13 other names
Description: tRNA-Ile
Rfam family: tRNA
About the family: Transfer RNA (tRNA) molecules are approximately 80 nucleotides in length. Their secondary structure includes four short double-helical elements and three loops (D, anti-codon, and T loops).
Source: RNAcentral
GCUGGUAUAGUUAAGAAGGUUAUAACACUCCCCUGAUAAGGGAAUAUCGGUGGUUCGAUUCCACCUACCAGUACCA